GAUGAACGCUGGCGGCAUGCCUAACACAUGCAAGUCGAGCGGCAGCAUGCUCACUGAAUCUUUCACGCGUUUGGAAGGUUUUGUGAGUGAUGGCGAGCGGCGGACGGCUGAGUAACGCGUGGGAAUCCACCCCAAAGCGAGGGAUAACGCACCGAAAGGUGUGCUAAUACCGCAUAUGGUCUUCGGAUUAAAGUUUUAACGCUUUGGGAGGAGCCCGCGUCGGAUUAGAUAGUUGGUGAGGUAAUGGCUCACCAAGUCGACGAUCCGUAGCUGGUCUGAGAGGAUGAUCAGCCAGACUGGAACUGAGAUACGGUCCAGACUCCUACGGGAGGCAGCAGUGAGGAAUAUUCCACAAUGGGCGAAAGCCUGAUGGAGCAAUGCCGCGUGCAGGAUGAAGGCCUUGGUUGUAACUGCUUUAUAUGAGAAGACUAUGACGGUAACAUAUGAAUAAGGACCGGCGUAACUACGUGCCACG
RNAcentral lists this ribosomal RNA (475 nucleotides) under uncultured bacterium. RNAcentral's name for it is "bacterial SSU rRNA". It matches the Rfam family "Bacterial small subunit ribosomal RNA", at positions 28 to 512 of the family's 1533-position model. The record is from RNAcentral.